Molecule: ribosomal RNA, 1434 nt
Filed under: uncultured organism
Description: SSU rRNA
Rfam family: Bacterial small subunit ribosomal RNA
Source: RNAcentral
CGCUAGCUACAGGCUUAACACAUGCAAGUCGAGGGGCAGCAUUUUAGUUUGCUUGCAAACUGAAGAUGGCGACCGGCGCACGGGUGAGUAACACGUAUCCAACCUGCCGAUAACUCCGGGAUAGCCUUUCGAAAGAAAGAUUAAUACCGGAUAGCAUACGAAUAUCGCAUGAUAUUUUUAUUAAAGAAUUUCGGUUAUCGAUGGGGAUGCGUUCCAUUAGUUUGUUGGCGGGGUAACGGCCCACCAAGACUACGAUGGAUAGGGGUUCUGAGAGGAAGGUCCCCCACAUUGGAACUGAGACACGGUCCAAACUCCUACGGGAGGCAGCAGUGAGGAAUAUUGGUCAAUGGGCGCGAGCCUGAACCAGCCAAGUAGCGUGAAGGAUGAAGGCUCUAUGGGUCGUAAACUUCUUUUAUAUGGGAAUAAAGUUUUCCACGUGUGGAAUUUUGUAUGUACCAUAUGAAUAAGGAUCGGCUAACUCCGUGCCAGCAGCCGCGGUAAUACGGAGGAUCCGAGCGUUAUCCGGAUUUAUUGGGUUUAAAGGGAGCGUAGGUGGAUUGUUAAGUCAGUUGUGAAAGUUUGCGGCUCAACCGUAAAAUUGCAGUUGAAACUGGCAGUCUUGAGUACAGUAGAGGUGGGCGGAAUUCGUGGUGUAGCGGUGAAAUGCUUAGAUAUCACGAAGAACUCCGAUUGCGAAGGCAGCUCACUAGACUGUCACUGACACUGAUGCUCGAAAGUGUGGGUAUCAAACAGGAUUAGAUACCCUGGUAGUCCACACAGUAAACGAUGAAUACUCGCUGUUUGCGAUAUACAGUAAGCGGCCAAGCGAAAGCAUUAAGUAUUCCACCUGGGGAGUACGCCGGCAACGGUGAAACUCAAAGGAAUUGACGGGGGCCCGCACAAGCGGAGGAACAUGUGGUUUAAUUCGAUGAUACGCGAGGAACCUUACCCGGGCCUAAAUUGCAACAGAAUAUAUUGGAAACAGUAUAGCCGUAAGGCUGUUGUGAAGGUGCUGCAUGGUUGUCGUCAGCUCGUGCCGUGAGGUGUCGGCUUAAGUGCCAUAACGAGCGCAACCCUUAUCUUUAGUUACUAACAGGUUAUGCUGAGGACUCUAGAGAGACUGCCGUCGUAAGAUGUGAGGAAGGUGGGGAUGACGUCAAAUCAGCACGGCCCUUACGUCCGGGGCUACACACGUGUUACAAUGGGGGGUACAGAAGGCGGCUACCUGGUGACAGGAUGCUAAUCCCAAAAACCUCUCUCAGUUCGGAUCGAAGUCUGCAACCCGACUUCGUGAAGCUGGAUUCGCUAGUAAUCGCGCAUCAGCCAUGGCGCGGUGAAUACGUUCCCGGGCCUUGUACACACCGCCCGUCAAGCCAUGAAAGCCGGGGGUACCUGAAGUACGUAACCGCAAGGAGCGUCCUAGGGUAAAACUGA